AAUAGAUACCCUGGUAGUCCACGCCGUAAACGAUGGAUACUAGAUGCUUGGGGUAUUGACCCCCCUGGGCGUCGUAAGCUAACGCGUUAAGUAUCCCGCCUGGGGAGUACGGUCGCAAGACUAAAACUCAAAGGAAUUGACGGGGGACCGCACAAGCGGUGGAGCGCGUGGUUUAAUUCGAUGAUACGCGAAGAACCUCACCGAGGUUUGACAUGUUACUGCAAAGCCUAUGAAAGUAGGCCUCCUUCGAGGGUGUAACACAGGUGUUGCACGGCUGUCGUCAGCUCGUGUCGUGAGAUGUUGGCUUAAGUGCUAUAACGAGCGCAACCCCUGCGAUAAGUUGUAUCACUCUUAUCGGACUGCCUGUACUUAUGUACAGGAGGAAGGCGGGGAUGAUGUCAAGUCAGCGUGGCCCUUAUACCUCGGGCUACACACGCGCUACAAUGGUAGGUACAACGGGUUGCAAGCCAGCGAUGGUAAGCUAAUCCCUUAAAAACCUAUCUCAGUUCAGAUUGCAGGCUGAAACUCG
RNAcentral lists this ribosomal RNA (529 nucleotides) under uncultured bacterium. RNAcentral describes it as "bacterial SSU rRNA". It matches the Rfam family "Bacterial small subunit ribosomal RNA", at positions 777 to 1314 of the family's 1533-position model. The record is from RNAcentral.